CAGCCGCCGCGGUAAUACGGAGGGUCCAAGCGUUAUCCGGAUUCAUUGGGUUUAAAGGGUGCGUAGGUGGGAUUAUAAGUCAGUGGUGAAAUUUUGCGGCUCAACCGUAAAACUGCCAUUGAAACUGUAGUUCUUGAGAGAGUUCGAGGUAGGCGGAAUGAGUAAUGUAGCGGUGAAAUGCAUAGAUAUUACUCAGAACACCGAUUGCGUAGGCAGCUUACCAGACCUUAUCUGACACUGAUGCACGAAAGCGUGGGUAGCGAACAGGAUUAGAUACCCUGGUAGUCCACGCCGUAAACGAUGCAUACUCGCUGUUUGCCCGCUUGAGGGUAAGUGGCCAAGCGAAAGUAAUAAGUAUGCCACCUGGGGAGUACGUCGGCAACGAUGAAACUCAAAGGAAUUGACGGGGGCCCGCACAAGCGGAGGAACAUGUGGUUUAAUUCGAUGAUACGCGAGGAACCUUACCUGGACUUAAAUGUAGGCUGCAUAGAGUGGAGACAUUCUUUUCUUCGGACUGCUUACAAGGUGCUGCAUGGUUGUCGUCAGCUCGUGCCGUGAGGUGUCGGGUUAAGUCCCAUAACGAGCGCAACCCCUAUCGUUAGUUACCAUCAGGUCAUGCUGGGGACUCUAGCGAGACUGCCGGUGUAAACCGUGAGGAAGGUGGGGAUGACGUCAAAUCAGCACGGCCCUUACGUCCAGGGCUACACACGUGUUACAAUGGCCGGUACAGAGGGCAGCUACAUAGCAAUAUGAUGCGAAUCUCGAAAGCCGGUCUCAGUUCGGAUUGGAGUCUGCAACCCGACUCCAUGAAGUUGGAUUCGCUAGUAAUUGCGCAUCAGCCAUGGCGCGGUGAAUACGUUCCCGGGCCUUGUACACACCGCCCGUCAAACAAUGGAAGCCGAGGGUACCUGAAGUCCGUAACCGCAGGGAGCGGCCUAGGGUAAAAUUGGUAACUGGUGUUAAGUCGUAACAAGGUAACCGUA
This 983-nucleotide ribosomal RNA is filed under the name uncultured bacterium. Its description in RNAcentral is "bacterial SSU rRNA". It matches the Rfam family "Bacterial small subunit ribosomal RNA", at positions 509 to 1504 of the family's 1533-position model. The record is from RNAcentral.